This 354-nucleotide unclassified non-coding RNA is filed under the name soil metagenome. Its description in RNAcentral is "partial contains 5.8S ribosomal RNA, internal transcribed spacer 2, and large subunit ribosomal RNA". The stretch from base 1 to 120 matches the Rfam family "5.8S ribosomal RNA", at positions 35 to 154 of the family's 154-position model. The record is from RNAcentral.
GAUGAAGAACGUAGCGAAAUGCGAUAAGUAGUGUGAAUUGCAGAAUUCAGUGAAUCAUCGAAUCUUUGAACGCACAUUGCGCCUCCUGGUAUUCCGGGAGGCAUGCCUGAUCGAGCGUCAUUAAAAUCACUCAAGCUUAGGUUUACCUAUUGCUUGGUCUUGGAGAUGGAAGCCAAUUUAUUGGAAUCCUCUUCGAAAUUCAAUGGCGAAGACCCUUGCUCUCCCAAGUGUAGUAAUAACUUAUGUCACUGAAGGAAGCGAGAAAUCUUCUGCCGUAACCCCCAUAUUUUCUAUGAUUGACCUCGGAUCAGGUAGGGAUACCCGCUGAACUUAAGCAUAUCAAUAAGCGGAGGA